RNAcentral lists this ribosomal RNA (205 nucleotides) under Clostridioides difficile. Its description in RNAcentral is "partial 23S ribosomal RNA". It matches the Rfam family "Bacterial large subunit ribosomal RNA", at positions 534 to 738 of the family's 2925-position model. The record is from RNAcentral. Lineage: Bacteria; Bacillati; Bacillota; Clostridia; Peptostreptococcales; Peptostreptococcaceae.
GGGAGUGAAAUAGAACCUGAAACCCUGCACUUACAAGCUGUGGAAGCACAUUUCUUGUGUGACAGCGUACUUUUUGUAGAACGGGCCAACGAGUUACGUUAAGUAGCAAGGUUAAGCACUUAAGGUGUGGAGCCGUAGCGAAAGCGAGUUUUAACUGAGCGUUCAGUUACUUGACGUAGACCCGAAACCGGGCGACCUACCCAUG